CCUAUUUACUCUCUAAAUUUUGCCCUCAUUCUGCUCACUUCGCCGUCAAUUCGUUCCUAUCCAUUGCUGCACUUUCCCUUCUCUUCCACCAUCACCGGCCACCGUCUUAAGGUAAUCCUAACUCAUCUCUCUCUAUCUCCACAUUAAUUUUUAUAUCUAUAUCUUUUUGUACCACCAUGGUGAUUCUGGUUUCACCAACUUUUGUUGUUUUUGUUACUCCUAUAUUUUUUUUUUUUGCACCAACUAUCAAUCUUAUCCGAAUAUUCCUAAAUAAUUCAUUCAAUUAUUUAUUUUUUUAUAUGUUUUCUUUUCAUUCCGUUUCUUUCUAAUUACUUUUGUUGUUGAAUAUUUGAUGUUUAGAAUGAUAAGCUCUGCCGUUGGGACUUACGCGGUGUGUGUUCUAGGUUUAGAUGCAUGUGUUUUGAUAUAUAUUGUUGUGGUUGUUUCGUUACAGAUUGGCGUUGUUCAAGCUAUUGUUCGUGAGGCCUAUUUCAAUUUUCACUCCUUCUGAAAGUAACCUAAUAGUUAAUCAAAUUUUCCUCUUUUCUCUUUAGUUGCUUUUGGUGUUAUUAAUGAAUUUAUAGACGUUGAAUAGUUCCAUAAGGUCAGUUCAGUUUAAUUGUCUGAAUUUGUUAAAUUUAUUGUUACAUUUCAGUUAGACCAAUUUUUCUCGCCAACCUUGUCUAUAGGCCUAGAGAGAUGUUUUGAGACACCAUUUAGCCUUGGAUUUUUGACAUCAAAUUUAUAAAAAUUUUGAAAGGUUUAGUUUGUUGUUAUUAAAGAGAAUUGUUAUGCCUUUUUAUAAUUGGAUGCCCCUAUAAUGCUGUUAAAAUUGGUAUAGAUGUUGUGAGUUAUAUAUAUUGUGUAAGAAUUUGGUAACAUCAGAAUGCAUAAAAAUUCUUUAUCACAUCUGAUUUUACUCGUUGUAGUUAAUGAUUUUAUAUUUGAUUAGCUUCUCCUUGGUUGAAGAAAGCAAAUUUGCUUAUCCACUCGUGAGAUUCCUUGUGUAUUAUACUAGUAACUAUUGUUAAAGAAUUAUUGUAACCUCAGAGUGUAUGAAAAAUUCUUGAUCAGAUCUUCUUUUUACCAUUUAAAAUCAAUGAUAGUAGAUUUUACUUUUCUCCUCAUCUGUUAGACGAAAGCAAAUUAGCUUAUCCAUUUCGCGAGGCCUUUCUGAGUACUACAAUAGUUAUACUCUAAAAAUAAACUCUUAACAAAUUAGCUUAUCUUUGUUGAGAUACUCUAUGGACUAGAGUAGUUAAAUUGUUAAGGAUCUUUGUCGACUAUAGUUAUGAUAUUGUAAAAGUAUUGCUUUGUUUUAUCCCUUCCUCAUAUGUUUUAUGUCACACCAAGAUGAAUGCUAACAUUCCUAACACUAAUAAGUGGUAAUGUUUCCAUGACUUACCUUACUAAUUUAAUUUUUGCUUUUAAAUGAGUUGCAGAACAGAAUAAGACAAGUUGCCAUCCUUUUGGGAUUCUAACACUUUUUCUUCCUUAUGUUUCAGUUUAAAUUGAAAGAAAUGGAGAUGUCUUGCCAUGUGAUAGUUGAAUAGGUUAACUUAUUGCUAUAGUAUCAGUUGUGGAAAAGAUAGAUUCAUAUUUGCAAAGGAUGUCUGAUCAAUUAGUGACAAUGGAAUGCUUGACUUGUAAAAAGAUGGCUCUGUGAAUCGUCGUCGCUGUAUUUUUUAUACAAAUUAAAGGAAUUAAUUCAAAUUAGGAGUGAUCUUAGUGUAGUUGUAUGUUGACAUCUUUUAAAUUGUUCAAAGUUGUAAGGAGUACACUUAGUCGAUCAGUACUUUUGUUCUUUGGAUUCAGUACUGAAAGCAUUCACUUUACCUAUAAUUUAUCUUUGUUACAUUGUGUAUGA
Long non-coding RNA from Nicotiana attenuata, 1867 nucleotides. RefSeq lists it as uncharacterized. The transcript has 2 exons. Lineage: Eukaryota; Viridiplantae; Streptophyta; Magnoliopsida; Solanales; Solanaceae. The record is from RefSeq and is a predicted model, not a curated record.